UAGAAAGUCUAGAAAGACACAAUUUGGUCGAAAUAAGAGUUUCUGAAAAGAGAAGUCUUUUACGGAUUGACGUGAAGUAAGUUGUCGUUGCCUUAACGGGUGCGAGACGAACGAUUAGAAGAAAAGGUGACAAAAAAAGGAGAUAUCUAGAUCGUACAGGCCUUGUUUGCAUUUGAAAAAAAAGAGGAGAUCCUGUAUUUCAAGCCAGUAAGAUAUCGGUAAUAAGUACUAUUUAAAAC
This is a non-coding RNA of Paramuricea clavata, 239 nucleotides long. Lineage: Eukaryota; Metazoa; Cnidaria; Anthozoa; Malacalcyonacea; Plexauridae. The record is from the annotation of a GenBank genome assembly.